Choloepus didactylus (southern two-toed sloth) is the source of this 399-nucleotide long non-coding RNA. RefSeq lists it as uncharacterized. The record is from RefSeq and is a predicted model, not a curated record. The transcript has 3 exons. NCBI's taxonomy places the organism in Eukaryota, Metazoa, Chordata, Mammalia, Pilosa, Megalonychidae.
AAAUUGAGUGCUGUCCAUAAUGAAGCAGUGCAGGAAAAAAAAUGUCCUCUUGGAAAAGUAAGAUGAACCUUAAAUGCAGUUAACUCAGAAGAAGCAGGGAUUGGAAUCCAAGGCUGAUCAGGACUUUUCUGGAUUGAGAGCAGAAAGCAGAAAAACAGCAGAGAUAGGAGAAAACUGAUGUAAAGAGAGACUAACAUGACUAAAGUGACUUGGGAGGCAGAGGGAAGUCAAUUCAUCUGGGGAGACUUCACCAGUGCUUCUUUUUCUGAGCCUCCAAGUUUGAUGAUGCAGCUGGCGUCCCGGAGAAGCUGGUGAAUUCCUCAUACAGUAAACAUGCUCCUGGCCCAGGGGUGAGAGAAAGUGGAGGAGGACCCAGAGGGAAUUUCAGGAACUACAGGC